Molecule: ribosomal RNA, 476 nt
Filed under: uncultured bacterium
Lineage: Bacteria
Description: bacterial SSU rRNA
Rfam family: Bacterial small subunit ribosomal RNA
Source: RNAcentral
UUGAACGCUGGCGGCAUGCCUUACACAUGCAAGUCGAACGGUAGGGUAGCAAUACUUGAGAGUGGCGAACGGGUGAGUAAUAUAUCGGAACGUGCCCAACUGUGGGGGAUAACGUAGAGAAAUUUACGCCAAUACCGCAUAUGAUCUAAGGAUGAAAGCGGGGGAUCGCAAGACCUCGCGUAGUUGGAGCGGCUGAUAUCAGAUUAGCUUGUUGGUGAGGUAAAAGCUCACCAAGGCGACGAUCUGUAGCUGGUUUGAGAGAACGACCAGCCACACUGGGACUGAGACACGGCCCAGACUCCUACGGGAGGCAGCAGUGGGGAAUUUUGGACAAUGGGCGAAAGCCUGAUCCAGCAAUGCCGCGUGCAGGAAGAAGGCCUUCGGGUUGUAAACUGCUUUUGUACGGAACGAAACGGUCCUUUUUAAUACAGGGGGCUAAUGACGGUACCGUAAGAAUAAGCACCGGCUAACUACGU